Molecule: long non-coding RNA, 3017 nt
Organism: Mesocricetus auratus (golden hamster)
Lineage: Eukaryota; Metazoa; Chordata; Mammalia; Rodentia; Cricetidae
Exons: 4
Source: RefSeq, a predicted model, not a curated record
CAGGGUUCCGGCUUCAUGGAAGAGUUUGGAGACUUUCUACAGGACACAGAGAAAUGACUGAUGGACUGCCAAUGCAUAUGGACAGCUUGAAAGUCUUCCAAACACCCUGUGGCCUAUGGACUGAAGAUGGAUCCCCCAACUUUACAGAGGAACUUCGGGUGACUGUCCAGAAAGGCCAAGAUCAGUAAGAUGAAUGACAACAAGUGCUGGCAAGUAUACAAGGAAGAUGGUACUCGUUGUUCAUGUGAGUGGAAACUGGAACAGCUGCUACAGAAAUCAAUGGUGGCCGUUUCUCAAGGAGCUGGGAAUAGAUCUACACCAAAACCCAGUAGCUGGCACACUGACAUCCAGCACUAUGAAAGCUAGCCAAUACAGGUGGAGCUUCAAGGAAGAGAGCAUUCAGUGCCUAGCAGAAGACUAAAGUCCUGACAAAAGGAUUCUGCCUGUCUCACAAGGAAAGCCAAAGACUAUAAGAGAAGUAUAUGAAUGAAGGUUGGGACUGUCAAUAAUAGUCCCCAUAAUGAUAAAAUUACAAAGUCUGAAGUUCUGUUUUCCUGGGUAGACCAAGACACAUCAAUGAGGGGAAGCAAUACUAUAGAGUACUUCAGGUCAAAACAGAAUUUGCAUUUGUUCAACAGUUAACUCUCUCAUCCCUCACAAUACAAAAGGUAGGAAGGAAGGGACAGUGGUAGCUAACACUUUCUAACGAACACAGCCGGUCUCUAGAGAGUAAAGGGGUAAGAGUUGAGCAUUUUGAAUUGUUUUCCUUUGGAAGAAAAAAAAGUAUCUUGUGAAACUUUCCUCCUUUGAAGACAGAAUAAUGCUAACUUCCACAUGGGAAUGGUUAGCAUUAUUACAUUCUCUUGAUUCAGAAGAUCAUGCCACCAUUUAGGGACCUUUAGCUUUCAAAAUCACAAGCUAAACUUAGAAGUGGGUUACCUUUCAUAAAUUGCAGUUAUUUCAUGUCAUUAAACUGAUGAGAUAAUGAAAGACAGAGAUUAGGACAAUUACAAUCAAUUAAUAACUUUAACAUUCUUGUGGAUCUAAAUCAGUAUUUUUCAUAUAAUAACAGCAAAAUGUAAGUACAAUCAUUUAUUGAAUGCCAAGACAAUUAAUCAUGCAAAGAUAAUGAUUUUAAUGACAAAAUAUGAAUAUGACCUUUCAUUUAUCAGAAACUGUUGGCAUUUUCAAAAGAAAGGCUUUAGAAAACACUGUCCUAAUUAUACUUCAAGACGCUAAGAAAUCAUUUGAAUUUGUUUCUCUCAAAGAUAAGCAUCACUAAAUGCAAUAAUACAAAGGAUUAAAUGUCCUUAUGCAGCAACAUUUAAAUACUCCCCCAAACAGACACUAACACUAGAAGCUGUGCUGUGUAUAGACUUAACUUUGUACAUGAAAUUCUGCCCCUCACUGCAGCAAAAUUGGAAAUUCUGAUUCAUCUGAUGUUACUUUUAAGCCCGAGGAGAAGGCUCACUGGAGGUCUGUUACCAGAGAUAGUGAAAAGCAUAUUCAUGCUAAAGAGGGCAAAGUGAGCUAAAACUUGGACAAGGCCUGGGUAGCACUAAUUCUAAGAUGGCCUGGAGAAAUUUCGCCUCAGUCUUCAAGCCUAUGAAUAUGACUAACCGUGACAUCUAUGGCAUAUUAUCUUAUAUGAUGAAGGAAUUCUGCAAAGAUAGUUGAAGUUACCAAGUCAAGUGACUUUUAGUUGAUGAAAUGUAGGUGUAUCUCAGAUACCCACAGAAACGACUGAAGAAGAGAGUGCUGUCUGUCUGAUGGAAGAAGAGGGAGCCAGAAAGAUUCAAAGCAAUAAGAAUUUGAUACAUAGUUUGAAGGUGUGAAGGUAGAGAAGAUACUCUAUAGACAAGAGAGACCACUAAGGAAAAGUACAGUCAGUCCAGUCACAAUGACCCUACUAACAAUCGGGUUAGUGUGUGUGACAGGGUCUGUGCUUUGGCCUAUGAGACCAUAGAGGACCCACUGGAAUCCUCCAGGAUCUACAUGGCUAUGAGAUAUUGAGCUGCUAUUGCUUUAAUUUGCUGCACUUAUUAUUUGACACCUACAUGUGGCCUGGGACCAAAGCCACAUUCACCAGGGAGAGCAUGAAGCUGUGCUUUCUGCUGGGAAUCUCAGCCCAAGAGAAUCUCUGGAGUCAUGUCGAAGUCCUGGGGCACGGAGAAAAUCCUUAAUAGAAACUUUCCCAAGAAGCAAAAUAGAACAUUUUCCAUUUUAAAUGAAGCGCUUAUUUUUUGACAUAUGUUCAUUUGGGGAGAAAUUCAGGAGCUAUAUAAGAAUUUUGAGAAAACAUUCUUUUAUUCAGCCUUCAUCUUUUUCUAACCAAGAACGUACUUUGGUUUACAACAACUUUACAGGGAAUUUUUAGUAGCCAGCUGGGUACUAAUCAUUGAAUUUUUCACUCCUAACCCUAGAGACAGAGAGGGAGAGAGGGAGAAGAAAAAGAGAAAGGCUGUACGAAAGAAAAAAGAAAAAGUACUCAUUUGCUGUUUUCCAUAGUGUCUCAUUAUGUGACUCACUUCAAGACACCAACAGGAUUUCUAAAAGCUAACUGUUGACUCUAACAAGCUCAUGCAGGCAGUUUUCAGUAAACCAACUGGGGGAAAAGUGGUUUUGAGGCAACAAAAUUGAAUAACUCAGAGUAUCAACAUCUCCGCGAUCUGAUUCUGCAUUGAGAACACACAGUUUACAGGAUAUGUUCUCUUCCAUCUUUUUCAGACUCUAUUAUCUUUUCAUUUAGUGUACAAAACAAGCAGAAAGGUGUGCAAAAAUUAGCAGUCCUAGUUAAAGAGCGGUCUGUCAGUGCCUGGGCUCCAGUUUCACCUGAAAGAUGGUCUGACAAGUGUGUGACAUCUUUUCCUGUUAAACGAGUUUCUUUUGUGGCAGGCAUAAGGCUUGUCUUCUUAUUCUCCCAGAAGGAGAAUUCUGGGAAAAUUCCUGUUCUUGGGAACUGGAGUUUCAACAAUCUGUUGGCAAAAAGAGGUUCACAAGUAUCUUUCUUUAGAAUC